RNAcentral lists this ribosomal RNA (468 nucleotides) under uncultured bacterium. Its description in RNAcentral is "partial 16S ribosomal RNA". It matches the Rfam family "Bacterial small subunit ribosomal RNA", at positions 38 to 507 of the family's 1533-position model. The record is from RNAcentral.
GGGGGGGGGGGGGGGGGGGCGGGGCGCGGGCAGGGCGAACGGAAGGGCCCUGCGUUUGUGGGGUGCUCGGGUGGCGAACGGGUGAGUGACACGUGAGUCCCCUGCCCUUGACUUUGGGAUAACUUCAGGAGCCUGGGGCUCAUACCUGCUAGGAGCUCCUGCUGCCUGGUGGGGGUUGCACAGUUUCGGCGGUUGGGGAUGGACUCGCGGCUUAUCAGCUUGUUGGUGGGGUAGUGGCUUACCAAGGCUUUGACGGGUAGCCGGCCUGAGAGGGUGACCGGACACAUUGGGACUGAGAUACGGCCCAGACUCCUACGGGAGGCAGCAGUGGGGAAUAUUGCACAAUGGGCGGAAGCCUGAUGCAGCAACGCCGCGUGCGGGAUGACGGCCGUCGGGUUGUAAACCGCUUUCGCCUGUGACGAAGCGUGAGUGACGGUAAUGGGUAAAGAAGCACCGGCUAACUACGUG